UGGGGAAUCUUGGACAAUGGGGGCAACCCUGAUCCAGCGACGCCGCGUGGGUGACGAAGGCCUUCGGGUUGUAAAGCCCUUUUCCCGGGGACGAUGGUGACGGUACCCGGGGAACAAGCGCCGGCCAACUCCGUGCCAGCAGCCGCGGUAAGACGGAGGGCGCUAGCGUUGUCCGGAAUCACUGGGCGUAAAGGGCGCGCAGGCGGCCGCGUCAGUCGGGCGUGAAAGCCCGGGGCUCAACCCCGGGACGGCGCCCGGGACGGCGCGGCUGGAGGCCGGGAGAGGGGGGUGGAAUAGCCAGUGUAGAGGUGAAAUUCGUAGAUAUUGGCUGGAACACCGGUGGCGGAAGCGGCCCCCUGGCCCGGCCCUGACGCUGGGGCGCGAAAGCGUGGGGAGCAAACAGG
RNAcentral lists this ribosomal RNA (404 nucleotides) under Bacillota bacterium. RNAcentral describes it as "Firmicutes bacterium partial 16S ribosomal RNA". It matches the Rfam family "Bacterial small subunit ribosomal RNA", at positions 355 to 776 of the family's 1533-position model. The record is from RNAcentral. Lineage: Bacteria; Bacillati; Bacillota.